Nycticebus coucang (slow loris) is the source of this 1230-nucleotide long non-coding RNA. RefSeq lists it as uncharacterized. The transcript is spliced from 3 exons. The record is from RefSeq and is a predicted model, not a curated record. Lineage: Eukaryota; Metazoa; Chordata; Mammalia; Primates; Lorisidae.
GCGGGAGGAGAGCCGUCGGCGUGAAGGGUUUUUUUUUUGUUUGUUUGUUUAUUUUUUGGAGCAGGCUGUGGGAGGCCCGGAGCUAGCUAGUUGCCAGAGAAUGUGCAGUUGAAACUGGAAAGUUUAGGGAGGUGGAGCAGAAAAAAGAAAGGAGGGCGUGUCUCCGGAGAGGGCUGUAACUGGGCAGCUGGUUCCACCGGCCUGGGGAUAAACAGCAGCUGCGGACACCCCCGGUGGCGGCGCGGCCCGGGCUGCCGCUCCCAGGUCCGCGAAGGGGCUCGGCCCGGGCUCUAAAGAUGCACACGCCAAGCGCGCGCGUAGGGUGAUUAAGACUCCCAGAAAGUCGUCAGGAUGUGGCGGUGUUAACGCUGGCGUUGCAGAUGGGCCUGGCAGCCAGAUCAUCAAGUCAAACUGUACAAAGUCUCUAGCAGCGUAAUAAUGUGGAUUUACCUGAACUGCAGCAUUGUUUUAGGUCCUUCAGUGACUGGUUGAUGAGGAAUAAUAGGACAUUCUAACAAAAGCGAAGAAAGAGGAAGAAAAAGAUAGGAUCUCACUUUGUUGCCCAGGCUGGUCUUGAACUUCUAGGCUCAAGGGAUCCUCCCGUCUCAGCGGCUGCAAACAAACCAUUUUCAUUGUAAGCCACCUCUUUGUGUGCUAAUCCUAUCAAUAAUUACAUUGUACGCUCCUCAAAGGAAAGAAGUGUGUUUCAUGACUCUGAUAAAACCUUUUAUUAUCAACUCCUGGGGGGCCAGGUACAAAGGUUCCCAGCUGGUCCUCCCCAGGGACAGUGUCUUUCAAGCUGCCUUCUGACCUGCUUCCUGUGUCAGCUUCCUAAAGCACAUGUCUGGGCAUGUCUCUUGCUCUACAAAUUCCAGGGCUAGAUGAUAAAAAGUCUUGAGAAUGAGAUUCUAGGCCAGCACUGUUGAUUAAAAAUCCAUGCCAGACCAUAUAUGUAAUUUAAAAUUUCCUAGAAGCCACAUUUAAAAAAAAAAAUUAAAAGGAAUAGGUGAAUUAAAUUUUGAUAAUUUAUUUAACCCAGUAUAUCCAAAAUAUUAUCAUUUCCACAUGUAAUCAAUAUAAAAAAUUAUUGAAGUAUUUCCCAUUCUUUUUCUCUGUGAGACUCAGUUGCCUCCUCUGUGAAAGGACACUAACACUUCACAGGACUGUGGAUGAUGAAAAUGGGAUGCUCCAGGCAGAGCCCAUUGUAUUCCCUUGCUAAUGCUGCUGUAA